GCAACUUCAAUCGUCUACGCGUCACUUGUGUGCGUAACAUACCACGGGUCCCGUUCCUUGUCCAGAUGAAUGUUUUUGCUGCUGGAGUUUCCAUGAAAUCUCAAGGCAGAACCACCCCAAGCAAAACUGACUAGGUUUAUCUUUUUGUCUUCCAUAAUCUUCUCUCUGUAGAUCUCGAGAACUCACCAUGUCUGCAACUAAUUUCGACCACCGAAGACAAUCAAUACCCUAACCUCCUUCCUCAGAGCAGCAGCAGAUUCAUUUUCUCGAUCUCAGAUUCAAAACAAAAACCUAGUUUGAUUUCCCGUUCAUACACAGCAACAAUAACACGAACUUCUUCUCCUUAAUAUCGAAUUCAUCAGCACCACCAGCAGCUGUUUCCAAUUUCUCGAUCUCUCGUUUCUGAAUUUCAGAUGGCUGUAUUAAUGAGGUCGGAAGAAAAACUAGAGUUGUCUGAAUUCAACUCGACCUAAGUAAAUCAAAUAAUCUGAGCGAUCAAUUUUCUUCUUUCUUGUAUACCAAUGCUAAUGAACGAUUCAGACCUAACAAAUCAUCGAAUUACAAAAGAAAUGAGUUCAUCACAAAGGUUCAAUCGCGGUUGAAACUGGAAGAAAUCAUCCAUGUUAGUGAAAGGCUUGUUCCUGCCCACUGCCGCUUCUCCUGCCACAACUGUUCUUCAUGCCCAACAAAGAAAAAUGAGUUGUUGGUCAAAGGACCCAAGGAACUGGCAGAAAUGAGUACAUGCCAAGUUUUUAUAUGAAGAACACUUUAUUGGCAGUGAAAAGAAAAAGAAGAAUACAUCACCGGAUUAAAGUUACAGGAGUUGCAGGACAGGGUUGCAAGCAAGAAAAGAAAUUGUUGAUUUUCAUGAAGAAAAUGGUGUUGCUUGAGAAUUAUAGUGUCUUAACUACACUGGUUGUAGGAUCAGAAUCUCGCAACAACAAUAUUUCAGCGAAAUUAUUAACAACACAAUACAAUAGCGUCGCAGAAUAAUUUCAGGAAGAAUAUAAUAAAUGACGUCACCUAAGAUCACAA
Molecule: long non-coding RNA, 1035 nt
Organism: Papaver somniferum (opium poppy)
Lineage: Eukaryota; Viridiplantae; Streptophyta; Magnoliopsida; Ranunculales; Papaveraceae
Exons: 3
Source: RefSeq, a predicted model, not a curated record